Molecule: ribosomal RNA, 448 nt
Filed under: uncultured bacterium
Lineage: Bacteria
Description: bacterial SSU rRNA
Rfam family: Bacterial small subunit ribosomal RNA
Source: RNAcentral
CGCCAGACUCCUACGGGAGGCAGCAGUGGGGAAUAUUGCACAAUGGGGGGAACCCUGAUGCAGCGACGCCGCGUGAGUGAAGAAGUAUUUCGGUAUGUAAAGCUCUAUCAGCAGGGAAGAAAAUGACGGUACCUGACUAAGAAGCCCCGGCUAACUACGUGCCAGCAGCCGCGGUAAUACGUAGGGGGCAAGCGUUAUCCGGAUUUACUGGGUGUAAAGGGGGCGCAGACGGCGAUGCAAGCCAGGAGUGAAAGCCCGGGGCCCAACCCCGGGACUGCUCUUGGAACUGCGUGGCUGGAGUGCAGGAGGGGCAGGCGGAAUUCCUGGUGUAGCGGUGAAAUGCGUAGAUAUCAGGAGGAACACCGGUGGCGAAGGCGGCCUGCUGGACUGCAACUGACGUUGAGGCCCGAAAGCGUGGGGAGCAAACAGGAUUAGAUACCCUGGUACU